Molecule: ribosomal RNA, 498 nt
Filed under: uncultured bacterium
Lineage: Bacteria
Description: partial 16S ribosomal RNA
Rfam family: Bacterial small subunit ribosomal RNA
Source: RNAcentral
GAUGAACGCUGGCGGCGUGCCUAAUACAUGCAAGUCGAGCGAACAGACGAGGAGCUUGCUCCUCUGACGUUAGCGGCGGACGGGUGAGUAACACGUGGAUAACCUACCUAUAAGACUGGGAUAACUUCGGGAAACCGGAGCUAAUACCGGAUAAUAUAUUGAACCGCAUGGUUCAAUAGUGAAAGACGGUUUUGCUGUCACUUAUAGAUGGAUCCGCGCCGCAUUAGCUAGUUGGUAAGGUAACGGCUUACCAAGGCAACGAUGCGUAGCCGACCUGAGAGGGUGAUCGGCCACACUGGAACUGAGACACGGGCCAAACUCCUACGGGAGGCAGCAGUAGGGAAUCUUCCGCAAUGGGCGAAAGCCUGACGGAGCAACGCCGCGUGAGUGAUGAAGGUCUUCGGAUCGUAAAACUCUGUUAUUAGGGAAGAACAAAUGUGUAAGUAACGAUGCACGUCUUGACGGUACCUAAUCAGAAAGCCACGGCUAACUACGUGC